UUUAAAGAGAUCCACCAUUUUUUUUCAGGUCUCCCGCAGGACAAAGAUAAGUUAACCAAGUAAAUAGACACAAGGCAUCUUAGAUCCCAGACAAAACAUUUAAGCAAACUGACCCAUUUGACUUCCUUGCAGGGUAACUGCCAGGCUUCCCCAGGGGAAGAGGGAUGACACUGAGCAAUCCCUAGGAAGUCAGUAAAACCAAAGUAUGUAAAAGUGUUGAUUUAGAUUAUCAUUAUACAUUUAUAUUAUCAUUUUACAAAGCCUUUUUGUCAGUUCCAUAAGGUGAGAUACAUCAAAACCAAGGUACUUGUGGAUGGAGAGGGUUGAAGAUGUGAAUUAGAGAAAAAAAGAGCCAUAAGAAGAGCAACAAACAAAAUAGAUCAAGAAUAAGGGAACAGAGGUUCAAGUUUCCCAAAGCACCGGGCAUGACCGGACAGACUGAUACCCUUGACGACCGUCAGUAAGAUGCCAGGGAGCUGGACAGGUGGAAGGCACCCGUGUUCUCCUGCCCUGCUCUGCGUAAUCGGGAGGUGUCUCUCAGAAGAUGGCUUCAGCCAGAACUUCAAAGGAGGUCCUCAGGGCUUAUCAAGCAACAGUCUACAAUGGCUGAGUUAUGCAAGAGUGAGUACAGGUGGGAGAGCCUGGACCUCAUACCAGUGAGUCAGCCCAGACGUAGGCGCCUAUCCUGCACAUCCCUCACAGUGACUUUUGACAGAAAUGAAAGCCAAGAGCACAGAAAAACAUCAGUUACGAGGUGCCAGGCCCCUGAGGGCACCCACAGAUCUCACUGUCUCUGCCCAGCCCCUCAGGGCUCCCCGCACCCUGCCCAGGACCCCAAUACGGCCUAGCCCAGGGCUGUCUGCGGGGAAGGUCAGGAUCAAAGGCAUCCUGCUUGAAAAACAGGUCACAACUCAGACGGAGGUAGCUGUGGCAACAACUUCCAAGACUUAAAAUACUUGAAAAUUUUGUAAAACUUUCUGUUUUACCAGUAGUCUUACAGUAUUUUCAGGAGGUGUGUCUUAACAGCAGGUUGAAGGGGAAAUCGCACACACACCAAAAAAAGAAUAAGAACAUUAAAACCACAAAAUAUGGCAAUUUGUAAAAACAAGAUGUAAAACAGGGGCUUCCCUCCACUUCACCCCAGUAUCAAAACAAAUGUGAAAAGCCCACAGUAGCCCCCUGCCUUGGUAGCAGGUGGGACAGGGAGCCUUGGAGGCUGGGUGGCUGCGCCGUCCAGCUGGAGGAUCAAGAAAACCGCUCUAGGCAAGAGGACUGAAGACAGCGAAGGCAGGAUAAAAGCAAAGUUAACAAAAAAAUGUAGUAAAGACUUGGAGAAAAUUUCUUGCAUGCAGAGCAGAGGUAUGGGGAACUUUAAUAUCUGCUCAGCUGGUGAAUGUUGUGGAGGGCAAGCUGGAGCAGCCUGAUUUGACCCAUUCAGUCCUGCUGCCAGUAAUACCUACGUGGUCCUCUCCGUACACCCAAGCCCAGCAGCUAAUACAGGAUGCAGGAAGCCUGCCUGGGCAGAGAAUAGUAUAUAUCACCCAAAGGCGAUAGGCAGAACGGGCAGAAAUUUCUCCUGCGCAAAGAACAAAAGGAACAUUGCAGAAACUGUGCUGAGAACAGCUUGAAGCUUUCAGGCUGAAUUUAUAUGCUUUGUGCUUGAGCUGAAUGGUUCACGUUAAUUUCCACAGAAGCUCUGCAACUGCAUGUGAUUUUUGUUGUUGUUGUGCAGCUAGAACAUUAGUUAUCUCUCAUUUGUAAAGCAGCUACCAUAUCCUGUAAUGACCUUUUACCGUGUGGUUUUCUUAUGUUCAACCACUUGUCCCCAUUACUUUUUUUCUUUUUUUUUUUUUUUUUUCCUGCCAGAGUGCUGAUACCUCAGGCAUCCUUUACUUCUUACUCCCACCUGAGCUCAGUCCUGACAACGCAGUGUGCAGUUACCAGCUGCCUGUCCUGGGACUGUGGAACUGCUGUAUCCUGUUCUCAUUCUGCAGUGUCACAAAGCAAAUACCUCCUGCCUCUGAGAACUACAAAUGUGUGAGACUGAGCGUGAUGCAGGAGGAAAAUAUUCGUGACAGCUGAUGUGCAUGUUAAUGCAAUUGUUUGUUGCAGCGAUUCUCAGACAUCUGUGAGUCUGCACGCAUCUAGAUGUGUGUGAGGUCUACGAGGAAAUCUUCUCUUGUCCUCACAGACAAAUAACAUGUUUUUUCAUAGAAUAAACUGUACUAUAUAUAAAACUUAUUUUAAACUUUUAAGCAGGAAGACUUUAUUUGAUAAGUAUUGAUUUCUAGUAGCUUAUGAUAAGCUAAGUUGAGCGCAGCUUCAGGUGGAUGUGCCAAGGACUUCUGCCCAGGAGCAAAUGAAAUGAAAUGGUAACACUGGAAACCUAGGCAGGGCUGUCCUGCAAUGCCUGAGGAAGUGCGCUGAGCUAGCGUGCAAGUUCUUUGUUGGCAGAGGUUACAGUCAAAUCAAUAUGGUUUUCACCUAGUGUUUUAAGCACACAGAUGCAUUACUAAAUAAAUUGUGUGUUUCAGCCACGUAGUUAUGCUAUGAUGCCCAAACUUUGUACAGCUUGCAGUGAAAGCCCAAAGAAGUAGCAGCGAGUUUUAAAUGUUGCAUUCAUCAGGCAGCUGGGGAAAAAAAAAAGAAAAGAAAAAAAAAACAAAACACCAGACUCCUGACUGCCCUUCAAAUUGGGAAACCCCAGUCAGCACAACAAAACCAGGAGAGACUUCCUCAGGAACAGCCCGCAAUGACAGCCAGGAAACUAGCUUGGUCUUCAUAGGUCACAGCAACCAAGGAGUUUCCCAGAAUCACCACCUUUUGCCUGUUAACAUUUUCCUCAUACCAGUUAGAUCCCCUGGCACAAGGAUAUACAGGAAUAGAUUUCAAGUGAAUUAUACAUUACAGCACUUGUCUUUCUCCCAUAAUGCACAGUAAUGUCUCCAGGAAAUUAUUCACAUCAGAAAUUACGAAUUUACAAAAUAAUCUUUAGAAAGCCGUAGGGACGAAUAUAUACAGCAGGUGUGGUGACUGAGCCCUCAGCAUUUUCAUUUACACAUGCAAGUAUGAAUUUGCAUGUAAGACUAAAAUGACUAAAAAGGCAGACAGCUUCUCAGCCCAAAGAUUAUAUUCUGUGCAUGAAAGUGUUGAGUUGUGAAGGCACAGGAGACCCGCACGUAGUUUGUGGCAAUGGCUGUCAGAGGGAUUUUUGAGAAAAAAAAAAAAAAAA
Anas platyrhynchos (mallard) is the source of this 3232-nucleotide non-coding RNA. The record is from RefSeq and is a predicted model, not a curated record. Lineage: Eukaryota; Metazoa; Chordata; Aves; Anseriformes; Anatidae.